Molecule: ribosomal RNA, 271 nt
Filed under: uncultured archaeon
Lineage: Archaea
Description: partial 16S ribosomal RNA
Rfam family: Bacterial small subunit ribosomal RNA
Source: RNAcentral
UACGUAGGUGGCGAGCGUUGUCCGGAAUUACUGGGCGUAAAGCGCGCGUAGGUGGUUCAGCAAGUUGGAUGCGAAAGCCCUGGGCUCAACCUGGGAACUGCAUCCAAAACUACUGAGCUAGAGUACGGUAGAGGGUAGUGGAAUUUCCUGUGUAGCGGUGAAAUGCGUAGAUAUAGGAAGGAACACCAGUGGCGAAGGCGACUACCUGGACUGAUACUGACACUGAGGUGCGAAAGCGUGGGGAGCAAACAGGAUUAGAUACCCUAGUAGU